This 253-nucleotide ribosomal RNA is filed under the name uncultured bacterium. RNAcentral describes it as "partial 16S ribosomal RNA". It matches the Rfam family "Bacterial small subunit ribosomal RNA", at positions 524 to 776 of the family's 1533-position model. The record is from RNAcentral.
UACGUAGGGUGCGAGCGUUGUCCGGAAUUACUGGGCGUAAAGAGCUCGUAGGUGGUUUGUCGCGUCUGCUGUGAAAUUUCGGGGCUCAACCCCGAACUUGCAGUGGGUACGGGCAGACUAGAGUGUGGUAGGGGAGACUGGAAUUCCUGGUGUAGCGGUGAAAUGCGCAGAUAUCAGGAGGAACACCGAUGGCGAAGGCAGGUCUCUGGGCCAUAACUGACGCUGAGAAGCGAAAGCAUGGGGAGCGAACAGG